GUGGGGAAUUUUGGACAAUGGGCGCAAGCCUGAUCCAGCAAUGCCGCGUGCAGGAAGAAGGCCUUCGGGUUGUAAACUGCUUUUGUCAGGGAAGAAAUCUUCUGGGCUAAUACCCCGGGAGGAUGACGGUACCUGAAGAAUAAGCACCGGCUAACUACGUGCCAGCAGCCGCGGUAAUACGUAGGGUGCGAGCGUUAAUCGGAAUUACUGGGCGGAAAGCGUGCGCAGGCGGUUAUGUAAGACAGAUGUGAAAUCCCCGGGCUCAACGUGGGAACUGCAUUUGUGACUGCAUGACUGGAGUGCGGCAGAGGGGGAUGGAAUUCCGCGUGUAGCAGUGAAAUGCGUAGAUAUGCGGAGGAACACCGAUGGCGAAGGCAAUCCCCUGGGCCUGCACUGACGCUCAUGCACGAAAGCGUGGGGAGCAAACAGGAUUAGAUACCCCUGUAGUCC
Molecule: ribosomal RNA, 450 nt
Filed under: uncultured bacterium
Lineage: Bacteria
Description: partial 16S ribosomal RNA
Rfam family: Bacterial small subunit ribosomal RNA
Source: RNAcentral